GCCCUGGUGGUGAAAUUGGUAGACACAAGGGACUUAAAAUCCCUCGACGUUCGCGUCGUGUCGGUUCAAGUCCGGCUCGGGGCA
RNAcentral lists this transfer RNA (84 nucleotides) under Candidatus Enterovibrio altilux. RNAcentral's name for it is "Candidatus Enterovibrio luxaltus tRNA". It matches the Rfam family "tRNA". Rfam says of the family: Transfer RNA (tRNA) molecules are approximately 80 nucleotides in length. Lineage: Bacteria; Pseudomonadati; Pseudomonadota; Gammaproteobacteria; Vibrionales; Vibrionaceae. The record is from Rfam by way of RNAcentral.